This 498-nucleotide ribosomal RNA is filed under the name uncultured bacterium. RNAcentral describes it as "bacterial SSU rRNA". It matches the Rfam family "Bacterial small subunit ribosomal RNA", at positions 28 to 518 of the family's 1533-position model. The record is from RNAcentral.
GAUGAACGCUAGCUACAGGCUUAACACAUGCAAGUCGAGGGGCAGCGCAGUGUAGCAAUACAUGGGCGGCGACCGGCGCACGGGUGCGUAACGCGUAUCCAAUCUUCCCGUUACUCAGGGAUAGCCUUCCGAAAGGGAGAUUAAUACCUGAUGGUGUUGAAAUUCCGCAUGUUAUUUCAACUAAAGAUUUAUCGGUAACGGAUGGGGAUGCGUGACAUUAGAUAGUAGGCGGGGUAACGGCCCACCUAGUCUACGAUGUCUAGGGGUUCUGAGAGGAAGGUCCCCCCANACUGGAACUGAGACACGGUCCAGACUCCUACGGGAGGCAGCAGUGAGGAAUAUUGGUCAAUGGUCGGAAGACUGAACCAGCCAUGCCGCGUGAAGGUCACGGCCCUAUGGGGUCUUAAACUUCUUUUGUAAGGGAGCAAUAAGUCUCACGUGUGGGAUGAUGAGAGUACCUUACGAAUAAGCAUCGGCUAACUCCGUGCCAGCAGCCGA